GAUGAACGCUAGCGAUAGGCUUAACACAUGCAAGUCGAGGGGCAGCAUGGUCUUAGCUUGCUAAGACUGAUGGCGACCGGCGCACGGGUGCGUAACGCGUAUGCAACUUGCCUCACAGAGGGGGAUAACCCGUCGAAAGACGGACUAAUACCGCGUACACUUGGGAUAGGGCAUCCUGACCCAAGGAAAUGAAAUUCGCUGUGAGAUAGGCAUGCGUCCCAUUAGCUAGUUGGUGAGGUAACGGCUCACCAAGGCGACGAUGGGUAGGGGAACUGAGAGGUUGAACCCCCACACUGGUACUGAGACACGGACCAGACGCCUACGGGAGGCAGCAGUGAGGAAUAGUGGUCAAUGGGCGAGAGCCUGAACCAGCCAAGUCGCGUGAAGGAUGACUGUCUUAUGGAUUGUAAACUUCUUUUAUACGGGAAUAACAAGAGUCACGUGUGGCUCCCUGCAUGUACCGUAUGAAUAAGCAUCGGCUAACUCCGUG
This 490-nucleotide ribosomal RNA is filed under the name uncultured bacterium. RNAcentral's name for it is "partial 16S ribosomal RNA". It matches the Rfam family "Bacterial small subunit ribosomal RNA", at positions 28 to 507 of the family's 1533-position model. The record is from RNAcentral.